RNAcentral lists this non-coding RNA (27 nucleotides) under Mus musculus (house mouse). Lineage: Eukaryota; Metazoa; Chordata; Mammalia; Rodentia; Muridae. The record is from RNAcentral.
UGGAACUUCAUGACUGCACACUCGCCU